AUUGUAAACUUCUGUUCGGGAUGAAGAUAAUGACAUUAGUCCCGGAGCAAGCCACGGCUAACUACGUGCCAGCAGCCGCGGUAAUACGUAGGUGGCAAGCGUUGUCCGGAUUUACUGGGUGUAAAGGGAGCGCAGGCGGGAGAGCAAGUCAGCGGUGAAAUACAUGGGCUUAACCCAUGGGCUGCCGUUGAAACUGUCCUUCUUGAGUGAAGUAGAGGCAAGCGGAAUUCCGAGUGUAGCGGUGAAAUGCGUAGAUAUUCGGAGGAACACCAGUGGCGAAGGCGGCUUGCUGGGCUUUUACUGACGCUGAGGCUCGAAAGUGUGGGGAGCAAACAGGAUUAGAUACCCUGGUAGUCCACACUGUAAACGAUGAUUACUAGGUGUGGGGGGUCUGACCCCUUCCGUGCCGCAGUUAACGCAAUAAGUAAUCCACCUGGGGAGUACGACCGCAAGGUUGAAACUCAAAGGAAUUGACGGGGGCCCGCACAAGCAGUGGAUUAUGUGGUUUAAUUCGAAGCAACGCGAAGAACCUUACCAGGUCUUGACAUCGAGUGACGAGUUCAGAGAUGAGCUUUUCCUUCGGGACACAAAGACAGGUGGUGCAUGGUUGUCGUCAGCUCGUGUCGUGAGAUGUUGGGUUAAGUCCCGCAACGAGCGCAACCCUUAUUGUUAGUUGGUACCAUUAAGUUGACCACUCUAGCGAGACUGCCCGGGUUAACCGGGAGGAAGGUGGGGAUGACGUCAAAUCAUCAUGCCCCUUAUGUCUAGGGCUACACACGUGCUACAAUGGCAAGUACAAAGAGAAGCAAUACUGUGAAGUGGAGCAAAACUCAAAAACUUGUCUCAGUUCGGAUUGUAGGCUGAAACUCGCCUACAUGAAGCUGGAGUUGCUAGUAAUCGCGAAUCAGAAUGUCGCGGUGAAUACGUUCCCGGGUCUUGCACUCACCGCCCGUCA
Molecule: ribosomal RNA, 955 nt
Filed under: uncultured bacterium
Lineage: Bacteria
Description: bacterial SSU rRNA
Rfam family: Bacterial small subunit ribosomal RNA
Source: RNAcentral